RNAcentral lists this ribosomal RNA (504 nucleotides) under Triticum aestivum (bread wheat). Its description in RNAcentral is "partial small subunit ribosomal RNA". Lineage: Eukaryota; Viridiplantae; Streptophyta; Magnoliopsida; Poales; Poaceae. The record is from RNAcentral.
AUGGUGAGCAGAGGGCCAAACCUCAACGGAGGAGUAAUAUAUACCCAGUUUGUUUGUUUGAAGGAUGCAACAACAUGCAAAAAUAAUUUUGCCGGGCAGGUGGUCAAACCCCUCUUCUACUGUUGUGGUAUUGUAAGUUUGCACGGUGCAGCAGCCUGGAGAGGCGGCCAACAACGCACGUGUGAAGCAACAAUAAACACGGCUGAUGUGCUCUGCUUCCCCCUCUCUUUUUUAAUUAAUGGAUCUCUUACUGAGCGGAGCAUUUCUUUAGGUGUUCAAACACCAAAUUGCAUCUGGCGGACUAUCUACGAUGUUGUGGCAUUGGACUAUGAGAAAGUUACAGUCUUUAUUGAUGCAACAGUUGUUGCAAGGCCAAAUAUCCAUUUGGCAAGUAUUAGAGAUAUGAGGACUAUCGUCGUGGAAAGACCAACCUUGGAAGAGUGGCGCCGUUGUGUUGCUCGUGGUGUAUUUCAUUCUUGGCACCGAAGUGGCAUACAUGCUUAG